UCGUAACGGUCAAAACAAAGAAUUCUCUGUGCAAUUAAAUAUUAAAAUCCUAAUAAUUGAACAAUGUGAGUGUGAUAAAGCGGACACUUUGUUUCUUUGCGGAAUUUAUCAUCAACAUCUGCAUUCCAAGUCUUAUUAUUACGGAGCUACAAACGAAAAUUACAGUCAACAAUUGUCGAUCAUAUGAGUGUUGGAAAUUCUCAACAAUCGUAAAGGCGAAAAUAUUUACAUACAUUGUCAGCCAUCUUGAAAAGUCGUAUUGAAAAUUUUCACAUCAAAAUUUUGGAGUAAUCUGCUUGUGACUAGACAUUUUGCUCCCUUGCGGAAUUUAACAUCAGUAUCUGCAUUCCAAGCGGCUACAGACGACAAUAAUAUUCAACAAUUGGACGUUUCAAUGAUUGUUGUAAAUUCUGAAUAAUUGUGUGACUGCGUAAAUAUUCUUAACAUUGGCAGCCAUCUUGGAAAAUGGAAUCGGAGAUUUCUCCCUGUAAUGAAAUGACAAAAUCAUAAUUUUUUAGUAAUCAGCGUGUGGCCAAGCAGACAUUUUGUUCCUCUGUGGAAUUUAUCAUCAAUAUCUGCAUUCCAAGCAGGAUUUUCACGAAUCUGCCGACAAAUACAUUCGACAAUUGGUCAUUUUAAUAAGCAUUGGAAAUACGCAACAAACGUGGCUGUGUAAAUAUUCACAAACAUUGGCAGCCAUCUUGGAAAGUGGAAUCGAAGAUUUCUCCUUUUCUGUCAUUCGUCCGCCAUUUUUUCAUGGAGAUACAAAGGACAAUUGCUUUGUUCAUUGUCGAACAUUACACAAAGAGAAUCGUAAAUCCCCAUCAAUAGUUACGAUCGAAUCCGUUGCCUCAAAAAUAUUUCUU
Leptopilina heterotoma is the source of this 866-nucleotide long non-coding RNA. RefSeq lists it as uncharacterized. The transcript has 5 exons. The record is from RefSeq and is a predicted model, not a curated record. NCBI's taxonomy places the organism in Eukaryota, Metazoa, Arthropoda, Insecta, Hymenoptera, Figitidae.